RNAcentral lists this ribosomal RNA (68 nucleotides) under Dicranostigma leptopodum. RNAcentral's name for it is "Dicranostigma franchetianum partial 5.8S ribosomal RNA". Lineage: Eukaryota; Viridiplantae; Streptophyta; Magnoliopsida; Ranunculales; Papaveraceae. The record is from RNAcentral.
GAGUUUUUGAACGCAAGUUGCGCCCUAGUGUCCAUCCGGCCAAGGGCACGCCUGCCUGGGCGUCACGC